UACGUAGGGUGCGAGCGUUGUCCGGAAUUACUGGGCGUAAAGAGCUCGUAGGCGGCUUGGUAAGUCGGGUGUGAAACCUCCAGGCUCAACCUGGAGACGCCACUCGAUACUGCCAUGGCUAGAGUCCGGUAGGGGCCCACGGAAUUCCUGGUGUAGCGGUGAAAUGCGCAGAUAUCAGGAGGAACACCGGUGGCGAAGGCGGUGGGCUGGGCCGGUCCUGACACUGAGACGCGAAGGCGUGGGGAGCGAACGGG
This 254-nucleotide ribosomal RNA is filed under the name uncultured bacterium. Its description in RNAcentral is "partial 16S ribosomal RNA". It matches the Rfam family "Bacterial small subunit ribosomal RNA", at positions 524 to 776 of the family's 1533-position model. The record is from RNAcentral.